RNAcentral lists this ribosomal RNA (246 nucleotides) under uncultured bacterium. Its description in RNAcentral is "partial 16S ribosomal RNA". It matches the Rfam family "Bacterial small subunit ribosomal RNA", at positions 109 to 353 of the family's 1533-position model. The record is from RNAcentral.
AGUAACGCGUGGGUAACCUGCCUCACACUGGGGGAUAACAGUUAGAAAUAGCUGCUAAUACCGCAUAAGCGCACAGCUCCGCAUGGAGCAGUGUGAAAAACUCCGGUGGUGUGAGAUGGACCCGCGUCUGAUUAGCCAGUUGGCGGGGUAACGGCCCACCAAAGCGACGAUGCGUAGCCGACCUGAGAGGGUGAUCGGCCACAUUGGGACUGAGACACGGCCCAGACUCCUACGGGAGGCAGCAUG